AACAUAUCUGGGGGGCACUUUCUCAACAUCUCUUUGUACCUCUCCCAAACUUCAUAAAGGGAUUCUCCAUCUUUCUGCACUAAAGUCUGGAUGUCAUGUCUUGCC
Small nucleolar RNA from Arachis stenosperma, 105 nucleotides. NCBI's taxonomy places the organism in Eukaryota, Viridiplantae, Streptophyta, Magnoliopsida, Fabales, Fabaceae. The record is from RefSeq and is a predicted model, not a curated record.